CUUCUUGAAAGUUAAAUUGGAGGUCGAGUCUGUCCACUGAGGAGUUAUUUAAAGGACCGCGGUAUAUUGACCGUGCAAAGGUAGCAUAAUCAUUAGUUUUUUAAUUGGGAACUGGAAUGAACGGUUUGACGAAAUAAUUAGUGUCUCUAAUUAAUUAAUUGAAUUUUACUUUUGAGUUAAAAGGCUUAAAUGUUAAUAAGGGACGAUAAGACCCUAUAGAUCUUUAUAAUAAUAUAAAUAUUGUUGUUUUGGUUGUUAUGUUGUGAAUUUUAUUAAUUUUAUUAUUUUGUUGGGGUGAUGUGAGAAUAUAAAAACUUCUUAAUUUAUAACUUUGAUUAUUGAAUUUAAGAUCCUGCGUUUGUGGAAAAAAGAUUAAGAUACCUUAGGGAUAACAGCGUAAUUUUAUUGGAGAGUUCUUAUUGAUAAUAAGGGUUGCGACCUCGAUGUUGGAUUAGGAAUAUAUGUUGGUGUAGAUGUUAAUAUUAUUGGUCUGUUC
This 496-nucleotide ribosomal RNA is filed under the name Cardiodactylus tello. RNAcentral's name for it is "partial large subunit ribosomal RNA". It matches the Rfam family "Bacterial large subunit ribosomal RNA", at positions 1829 to 2582 of the family's 2925-position model. Lineage: Eukaryota; Metazoa; Arthropoda; Insecta; Orthoptera; Gryllidae. The record is from RNAcentral.